AUUGAACGCUGGCGGCAUGCCUUACACAUGCAAGUCGAACGGUAACAGGUCUUCGGAUGCUGACGAGUGGCGAACGGGUGAGUAAUACAUCGGAACGUGCCUAGUAGUGGGGGAUAACUACUCGAAAGAGUGGCUAAUACCGCAUGAGAUCUACGGAUGAAAGCAGGGGAUCGCAAGACCUUGUGCUACUAGAGCGGCCGAUGGCAGAUUAGGUAGUUGGUGGGAUAAAAGCUUGCCAAGCCGACGAUCUGUAGCUGGUCUGAGAGGACGAUCAGCCACACUGGGACUGAGAUACGGCCCAGACUCCUACGGGAGGCAGCAGUGGGGAAUUUUGGACAAUGGGCGAAAGCCUGAUCCAGCAGUGCCGCGUGCAGGAUGAAGGCCUUCGGGUUGUAAACUGCUUUUGUACGGAACGAAAAGCCCCGGGUUAAUACCCUGGGGUCAUGACGGUACCGUAAGAAUAAGCACCGGCUAACUACGUGCCAGCCGCCGCCGUAA
RNAcentral lists this ribosomal RNA (498 nucleotides) under uncultured bacterium. Its description in RNAcentral is "partial 16S ribosomal RNA". It matches the Rfam family "Bacterial small subunit ribosomal RNA", at positions 30 to 523 of the family's 1533-position model. The record is from RNAcentral.